UGAUAUUUAAACGGGCACAAAGCCAAGGUUGGCGAUUCACAACCACCUGGAGAGUGAUAUUUAAACAGGCACAAAGCCAAGGUUGGUGAUUCACAACCACCUGGAGGGUGAUAUUUAAACAGGCACAAAGCCAAGGUUGGCGAUUCACAACCACCUGGAGGGUGAUAUUUAAACAGGCACAAAGCCAAGGUUGGUGAUUCACAACCACCUGGAGGGUGAUAUUUAAACAGGCACAAAGCCAAGGUUGGUGAUUCACAACCACCUGGAGGGUGAUAUUUAAACAGGCACAAAGCCAAGGUUGGUGAUUCACAACCACCUGGAGGGUGAUAUUUAAACAGGCACAAAGCCAAGGUUGGUGAUUCACAACCACCUGGAGGGUGAUAUUUAAACAGGCACAAAGCCAAGGUUGGUGAUUCACAACCACCUGGAGGGUGAUAUUUAAACAGGCACAAAGCCAAGGUUGGCGAUUCACAAC
This is a long non-coding RNA of Oncorhynchus keta (chum salmon), 475 nucleotides long. RefSeq lists it as uncharacterized. The record is from RefSeq and is a predicted model, not a curated record. The transcript is spliced from 3 exons. NCBI's taxonomy places the organism in Eukaryota, Metazoa, Chordata, Actinopteri, Salmoniformes, Salmonidae.